RNAcentral lists this ribosomal RNA (253 nucleotides) under uncultured bacterium. RNAcentral's name for it is "partial 16S ribosomal RNA". It matches the Rfam family "Bacterial small subunit ribosomal RNA", at positions 524 to 776 of the family's 1533-position model. The record is from RNAcentral.
UACGUAGGUGACAAGCGUUGUCCGGAUUUAUUGGGCGUAAAGCGAGCGCAGGCGGUCUUUUAAGUCUGAUGCGAAAGCCCACGGCUCAACCGUGGAGGGGCAUUGGAAACUGGAAGACUUGAAUACAGAAGAGGAAAGUGGAAUUCCAUGUGUAGCGGUGAAAUGCGUAGAUAUAUGGAGGAACACCAGUGGCGAAGGCGACUUUCUGGUCUGUAAUUGACGCUGAGGUUCGAAAGCGUGGGGAGCGAACAGG